GGAGAGAUGGCUCAGGGGUUAAGAGCACUGACUGCUCUUCCAGAGGUCCUGAGUUCAAUUCCCAGCAACUACA
Molecule: transfer RNA, 73 nt
Filed under: Mus musculus (house mouse)
Lineage: Eukaryota; Metazoa; Chordata; Mammalia; Rodentia; Muridae
Description: tRNA-Ser
Source: RNAcentral